CCCUUAGAUGUCCUGGGCCGCACGCGCGCUACACUGAGUGUCUGAGAUACGAGUCUGCCUGGUCCGGCAAGGUCUAGGUAAUCGCUAAAAGACACAUCAUGCUUGGGAUAGAUUAUUGCAAAUAUUAAUCUUGAACGAGGAAUUCCUAGUAAGCGCAAGUCAACAGCUUGCGUUUAUUACGUCCCUGCCCUUUGUACACACCGCCCGUCGCUACUACUGAUUGGAUGUUUAAGCGAGGUUCUCGAACUGCUAGCGACUUAGCUUCGGUGAGGUCGCAGUGUGGGAAGUGAACCUAGCUCUGGUGUCUAGAGGAAGUAAAAGUCGUAACA
This 329-nucleotide ribosomal RNA is filed under the name uncultured eukaryote. RNAcentral describes it as "partial 18S ribosomal RNA". It matches the Rfam family "Eukaryotic small subunit ribosomal RNA", at positions 1470 to 1796 of the family's 1831-position model. The record is from RNAcentral.